UACUUGGUGGCGACCGGCGCACGGGUGAGUAGCGCGUAUGCAACCUACCUAUCAGACGGGGAAUAACCGGCGAAAGUCGGACUAAUACCGCAUAAAACAGGGGCACCGCAUGGUGAUAUUUGUUAAAGAAAUUCGCUGAUAGAUGGGCAUGCGUUCCAUUAGGUAGUUGGUGAGGUAACGGCUCACCAAGCCGACGAUGGAUAGGGGAACUGAGAGGUUGGUCCCCCACACUGGUACUGAGACACGGACCAGACUCCUACGGGAGGCAGCAGUGAGGAAUAUUGGUCAAUGGGCGAGAGCCUGAACCAGCCAAGUCGCGUUGAAGGAAGAAGGAUCUAUGGUUCGUAAACUUCUUUUGCAGGGGAAUAAAGUGCAGGACGUGUCCUGUUUUGUAUGUACCCUGAGAAUAAGGAUCGGCUAACUCCGUGCCAGCCGCCGC
RNAcentral lists this ribosomal RNA (439 nucleotides) under uncultured bacterium. RNAcentral's name for it is "bacterial SSU rRNA". It matches the Rfam family "Bacterial small subunit ribosomal RNA", at positions 81 to 518 of the family's 1533-position model. The record is from RNAcentral.